Molecule: ribosomal RNA, 1748 nt
Filed under: Cronobacter muytjensii
Lineage: Bacteria; Pseudomonadati; Pseudomonadota; Gammaproteobacteria; Enterobacterales; Enterobacteriaceae
Description: partial 23S ribosomal RNA
Rfam family: Bacterial large subunit ribosomal RNA
Source: RNAcentral
UAUGUGUUGUUGGGUAGGGGAGCGUUCUGUAAGCCUGUGAAGGUGUGCUGUGAGGCAUGCUGGAGGUAUCAGAAGUGCGAAUGCUGACAUAAGUAACGAUAAAGCGGGUGAAAAGCCCGCUCGCCGGAAGACCAAGGGUUCCUGUCCAACGUUAAUCGGGGCAGGGUGAGUCGACCCCUAAGGCGAGGCCGAAAGGCGUAGUCGAUGGGAAACAGGUUAAUAUUCCUGUACUUGGUGUUACUGCGAAGGGGGGACGGAGAAGGCUAUGUUGGCCGGGCGACGGUUGUCCCGGUUUAAGCGUGUAGGUGUGAUGACCAGGCAAAUCCGGUUGUCUUUAACACUGAGGCGUGAUGACGAGGCACUACGGUGCUGAAGCAAUAAAUGCCCUGCUUCCAGGAAAAGCCUCUAAGCAUCAGGUAACACGAAAUCGUACCCCAAACCGACACAGGUGGUCAGGUAGAGAAUACCAAGGCGCUUGAGAGAACUCGGGUGAAGGAACUAGGCAAAAUGGUGCCGUAACUUCGGGAGAAGGCACGCUGACAUGUAGGUGAAGCCCCUGCGGGCGGAGCUGAAGUCAGUCGAAGAUACCAGCUGGCUGCAACUGUUUAUUAAAAACACAGCACUGUGCAAACACGAAAGUGGACGUAUACGGUGUGACGCCUGCCCGGUGCCGGAAGGUUAAUUGAUGGGGUUAUCGCAAGAGAAGCUCCUGAUCGAAGCCCCGGUAAACGGCGGCCGUAACUAUAACGGUCCUAAGGUAGCGAAAUUCCUUGUCGGGUAAGUUCCGACCUGCACGAAUGGCGUAAUGAUGGCCAGGCUGUCUCCACCCGAGACUCAGUGAAAUUGAACUCGCUGUGAAGAUGCAGUGUACCCGCGGCAAGACGGAAAGACCCCGUGAACCUUUACUACAGCUUGACACUGAACAUUGAGCCUUGAUGUGUAGGAUAGGUGGGAGGCUUUGAAGCGUGGACGCCAGUCUGCGUGGAGCCAACCUUGAAAUACCACCCUUUAAUGUUUGAUGUUCUAACCUGGCGCCAUAAUCUGGCGUGGGGACAGUGUCUGGUGGGUAGUUUGACUGGGGCGGUCUCCUCCCAAAGUGUAACGGAGGAGCACGAAGGUCAGCUAAUCCUGGUCGGACAUCAGGAGGUUAGUGCAAUGGCAUAAGCUGGCUUGACUGCGAGAGUGACGGCUCGAGCAGGUGCGAAAGCAGGUCAUAGUGAUCCGGUGGUUCUGUAUGGAAGGGCCAUCGCUCAACGGAUAAAAGGUACUCCGGGGAUAACAGGCUGAUACCGCCCAAGAGUUCAUAUCGACGGCGGUGUUUGGCACCUCGAUGUCGGCUCAUCACAUCCUGGGGCUGAAGUAGGUCCCAAGGGUAUGGCUGUUCGCCAUUUAAAGUGGUACGCGAGCUGGGUUUAGAACGUCGUGAGACAGUUCGGUCCCUAUCUGCCGUGGGCGCUGGAGAAUUGAGGGGGGCUGCUCCCAGUACGAGAGGACCGGAGUGGACGCAUCACUGGUGUUCGGGUUGUCAUGCCAAUGGCACUGCCCGGUAGCUAAAUGCGGAAGAGAUAAGUGCUGAAAGCAUCUAAGCACGAAACUUGCCCCGAGAUGAGUUCUCCCUGAGACUUUAAGUCUCCUGAAGGAACGUUGAAGACGACGACGUUGAUAGGCCGGGUGUGUAAGCGCAGCGAUGCGUUGAGCUAACCGGUACUAAUGAACCGUGAGGCUUAACCUUACAACGCCAAAGAAGU